GGGGAAUCUUGCGCAAUGGGCGAAAGCCUGACGCAGCGACGCCGCGUGGGUGAUGAAGGCCUUCGGGUUGUAAAGCUCUGUGGGGAGAGACGAAUAAGACGUGGCUAACAUCCCCGGCGAUGACGGUAUCUCCUUAGCAAGCACCGGCUAACUCUGUGCCAGCAGCCGCGGUAAGACAGAGGGUGCAAACGUUGUUCGGAAUUACUGGGCGUAAAGCGUGUGUAGGCGGCCAGGUAAGUUGGAUGUGAAAGCCCGGGGCUCAACCCCGGAAGUGCAUUCAAAACUGCUUGGCUUGAGUAUCGGAGAGGUUGGUGGAAUGGGUCAUGUAGCGGUGAAAUGCUUAGAUAUGACCCGGAACACCAAUUGCGAAGGCAGCAGGCUAAACGAAAAUUGACGCUGAGGCUCGAAAGCGUGGGGAUCAAAC
Molecule: ribosomal RNA, 424 nt
Filed under: uncultured bacterium
Lineage: Bacteria
Description: bacterial SSU rRNA
Rfam family: Bacterial small subunit ribosomal RNA
Source: RNAcentral